GCACUUCUACUCCAGUUUAUUGUACUGAACUUCAGCCAAGCAAGGCCCCUAAACCAGGCCAGAUACAGAGGCCAACACCAAGGCCGUCUCUGCCAUGGCGGGUAUAAAAUCGAAACAGUAAAAAUUCAUUCAAGCCUGGGGUGGUGGCACACACCUGUAAUCUCAGAGCUCUGGAGGCAGAGGCAGGAGGAUCGCCUUGAGUUCAAGGCCAGCCUGGGCUACAUAGCGAGACGCUGUCUCAGAAAACAAAAAACAAACAAAAAAACAGGGCAAAAAGAUAAGAUAUUAGAUUUAAGAGGGGCUUUAAUGCAGGGCAGACAGGGAAGGGGUUUGGAGUGGAGACUUCAGGAAGGAAGACAGGCAGUCAGUGAGGUUUGUGACACACCCAAAGUUCCAAAUGGUGAUGAAAGAACAAUGGAUUUUGUGCAAGAAGUGGCUUCGUCCAAUUGUCCAAUUUUCAUCUUGUUUGUUGGUUUGUUUGUUUGAGACAGGGUCUCUCCAGGUAUCUCAGGCUGUCCUCGAACUCAUGGCGAUCCUCCUGCCUCAGCCUCUGGAAUGCUGGGAUUACAGGUGUGCCCCUCCACACCCAGCGCAAUUUUGAUCUUUAACAGACUGUUCUGGUCACUGACAAGGGCCUGAGCCAGGAGUCGAGCAGGCAGGGUGUGGUGAGGUGGAGAGAAUCGGUGGAUGGUGACUUGCUGGGAGACAGGGCCGACAGGACUGGCUGAGGGCUGAGCCAUGGACCCUGGGGGACAGCAGAGUUGGGGACACCUGACAGAGGAACUGGAGGGGAUUCAGCGGAGGACGCCAAGCGCUGGGGUCGGGACUCUCUUCGCUUCAUCUCACGACAGCGCAGGGCAGACCCGGGUGGAACACCGGACGAGGGACUGUAUCCUGGGGACAGAGCCACGGGAGAGGCCGAAGAGAAGACCCGAGGUCUUCCUGGUUGCCACGGAUUGAGCAUCUUUCCUCUGCCAUUUCCUCCUACCACGCCACGCCUGCCUUAGAAACAGCCACCUAUGGACUGAAUCCAUAAAAUGUGAACCAGAAC
This 1051-nucleotide long non-coding RNA is filed under the name Heterocephalus glaber (naked mole-rat). RNAcentral's name for it is "lncRNA (ENSHGLG00100040893.1)". The record is from RNAcentral. Lineage: Eukaryota; Metazoa; Chordata; Mammalia; Rodentia; Bathyergidae.